RNAcentral lists this unclassified non-coding RNA (218 nucleotides) under Glomus sp. Its description in RNAcentral is "partial contains 5.8S ribosomal RNA and internal transcribed spacer 2". The stretch from base 1 to 65 matches the Rfam family "5.8S ribosomal RNA", at positions 84 to 154 of the family's 154-position model. Lineage: Eukaryota; Fungi; Glomeromycota; Glomeromycetes; Glomerales; Glomeraceae. The record is from RNAcentral.
GUGAAUCAUCGAAUCUUUGAACGCAAAUUGCACUCUCUUCGGAGAGUAUGCCUGUUCGAGGGUCAGCCUAAAAAAAAAUCGACAUAGUGGCGGUUUCGCGGUGACAUUGGUCGGAAAUGGGGUAAUCUUAAACCUUGGGGUUUUAAGGGGCUAAAAAUUUUCUUUAGGAUUCCACGAACGUUCUUAAGAUCUACUUCUUAUACGUUUAAGGUACCGAU